RNAcentral lists this ribosomal RNA (498 nucleotides) under uncultured Glomeromycotina. RNAcentral describes it as "partial small subunit ribosomal RNA". It matches the Rfam family "Eukaryotic small subunit ribosomal RNA", at positions 591 to 1092 of the family's 1831-position model. The record is from RNAcentral. Lineage: Eukaryota; Fungi; Glomeromycota.
CCAAUAGCGUAUAUUAAAGUUGUUGCAGUUAAAAAGCUCGUAGUUGAAUUUCGGGAUUAGUGCGCCGGUCGUGCCUUCGGUAUGUACUGGUGUUACUGGUUCCUACCUUCUGACGAACCGUCAUGUCAUUAACUUGGUGUGGCGGGGAAUCAGGACUGUUACUUUGAAAAAAUUAGAGUGUUUAAAGCAGGCUCGCGCUUGAAUACAUUAGCAUGGAAUAAUGAAAUAGGACGUUCGAUCCUAUUUUGUUGGUUUCUAGGAUUGACGUAAUGAUUAAUAGGGAUAGUUGGGGGCAUUAGUAUUCAAUUGUCAGAGGUGAAAUUCUUGGAUUUAUUGAAGACUAACUACUGCGAAAGCAUUUGCCAAGGAUGUUUUCAUUAAUCAAGAACGAAAGUUAGGGGAUCGAAGACGAUCAGAUACCGUCGUAGUCUUAACCAUAAACUAUGCCGACUAGGGAUCGGAUGAUGUUAUUUUUAAUGACUCAUUCGGCGCCUUACG